AUUAAUAAACUUCGGAAAUUCAUAACUUCUUCAUACGAACUCCGUUUUCGACGUUCUUUAUAUCCACGCGAAGGUGAGACCACGCUCUACGACUUUCGUUUAGACUCCGUCGGCUAAUUUUGACUUUAUUUUUAUUAAUUAUUUUUAAUAGGCCGGGACAGAAACUUUCGUUAUAAAUUCAUAACUUCUUCGUUUGACGUCCGUUCUCGCCUAACUUUUUAUCGUUUCAAUACCAACAAUGAGAUCUUCGAUUCUCAUUUAGAUUGCUUCGGCUAACAACCGCUCGAUCUCAAAUCGAGUAAAACAGGCUGUAUAUCGCUAAGCCGGAACUUCGAUAAAUCAUAACUUCCUCAUACGAAGUCAGAUUUGGGCGUUCUAUAUAUAUUCGGAAACCUCGUUUCAACUACUACAACAUUAACCAAAUAUAUUAAGUUUAUUUUACACUUAAAUUUUGACGCUUAUUUUUAUUCUUAAUUAAUCAAACCACAUAAUUAAGCAAUUAAGCACAAAACACACAAUACUCAAAUAAUACAAUCUUAUUAUUUCAAAACGGGUUACAGAGGUUAACCUAGACUAUUACAUUGCUACAAAUGGCAAGCCCGAAACACAGGCGUUACAAUUCUCUCCACCUUAGAAUGAUUCCGUCCCCGGAAUCACACAUCAACAAACAAAUGCGGAUAGCGACUCAACAUGUCACUCUCCGUCUCCCAGGUGAGAUUCGGCCCAUUCGUGUGUUUCCAUCGGACAAGCACUAACCCAACCAUUUUGCGUCGCAACUUCUUAGUCUUUCGGUCAACAAUUGCCUCUGGUUCUUCAAUCAACCUUUUGUUCUCAUCAAUUCUCAAUUCAGAAAUUGGAAUUAUAUCGGGAACUUCUCCCGUGAACUUCCUCAAAUAACACACAUGAAAGGUGUUGUGAAUUCCAUUCAGUUCUUCGGGUAAUUCGAGCUUGUAAGCUUGAUUCCCAAUCCUCUGAAGGACUCUAAACGGUCCAAUAAACCUUGGACUCAACUUUCCCCUUUUACCAAAUCUUAUAAGUCCCUUCCACGGCGAGACUUUAAGCAAAACCGAAUCUCCAACCUCAAAAGUCAUCGGUCUUCGCUUCUUGUCAGCAUAGCUCUUUUGACGAUCUUGAGCUGCUAACAUUCUUUCCCUAAUUAUUUUCAACUUUUCAGCAGUUUGAUGAACCAACUCCGGUCCCAUAAACUGCUUUUCCCCAGCCUCAAGCCAACAAGACGGCGUACGACACUUCUGUCCAUACAAAGCUUGAUAAGGUGCCAUCUUAAUGCUCGAGUGAAAACUAUUAUUAUAGGAAAAUUCUACCAACGGUAAAUGUUCAUCCCAAUUACCUAGGAAUUCCAAGGUACAUGCUCUCAGCAUAUCUUCAAGUGUUUGUAUUGUUCUUUCACUCUGACCAUCAGUCUGCGGAUGGUAAGCUGUGCUUAAACAUAACUUGGUACCCAUUUCCUCUUGUAGACUUUUCCAAAACCUUGAGGUGAAACGGCUAUCACGAUCCGAUACAAUCGUUAACGGAACACCGUGAAGCCUCACAAUUUCCUUCACGUAAGAAUUCGCAAGCUUUUCCAUAGACCAUUUCUCCCUGGCCGCUAUGAAAUGCGCACUCUUAGUGAAUCGAUCAACGACCACCCAAAUCAUGUCGUGACCAUUCUUUGUUCUGGGCAGUUUAGUGACAAAAUCCAUAGCAAUGUCUUCCCACUUACCCAUAGGCACAGGCAAAGGUUCUAAACUCCCGUACGGUUUCUGAUGUUGUGUCUUGACUCUCGCACAAGUCACACACUCGGCCACAUACUUUGCAACAUCAAGCUUCAUCGUCGGCCACCAGUAGUAGGGUUUCAGGUCCCUAUACAUUUUAGUGCUACCCGGAUGAAUCGAGUACAUGGUCUUGUGAGCUUCUUCCAUCAGAAGAUCUCUAAUUCCUCCUGACUUAGGUACCCAAAUACGAUCUUGGAAUACCUUCAGUCCAUGACCGUUAGUACCAAACACCAACGUUUUACCCAAACGUUCCUCCUUUCGGUCAUUUUUCUCAGAAGCUUCCUCUUGAGCUUUCUUUAUACUUUCCACAAUGGUCGAGACAACUUCAAUUCUCAACGCUCUUGGCCUCUUCCUUUCAAGAUUGACCUUCCGACUGAGAGCAUCAGCAACAACAUUAGCUUUACCGGGGUGGUAAAGUAUCUCGCAGUCGUAGUCUUUAAGUAAUUCUAGCCAGCGUCGUUGCCUCAUAUUCAAUUCUUUCUGAUUAAAGAGGUAUUGGAGACUCUUAUGAUCAGUGAAAAGUUUGCACUUCGUGCCAUAGAGGUAAUGCCUCCAUAUUUUCAGAGCGAAAACUACCGCUGCCAACUCCAAAUCAUGAGUCGGGUAAUUCUUUUCAUGCUCUUUCAGCUGUCGAGACGCAUAUGCUAUCACCUUUUCUCUUUGGGUCAAAACACAACCCAAUCCAACACCAGACGCAUCGCUAUAAACAGCGAAGUCUUCAACUCCAUCGGGUAGAGAAAGUAUCGGUGCCUCGCAUAGCUUCUUCUUUAACUUCUCGAAUGCUUCUUUAUGCUUCUCACUCCAAGCAUAAGUAGCUCCUUUGUGGGUCAAAGCUGUUAAUGGAGUAGCAAUCGAAGAAAAGCCUUGGAUAAACCUUCGGUAAUAUCCGGCUAAUCCUAAAAAGCUUCGAAUCUCCGUGGGACUUUUCGGUUGUUCCCACUUCGUCACAGCUUCGAUCUUCGCUGGAUCAACCAUUAUCCCUUCUUGGUUGACCACGUGACCCAAGAAUUGGACUUCACGAAUCCAAAAAUCACAUUUGGAGAACUUCGCAUAAAGCUUCUCCUUCUUCAAAACUUCUAACACUUCUCGCAAGUGUCUGCCAUGCUCCUCCUGGCUUUUCGAGUAGAUCAGAAUGUCGUCUAUGAACACUAUCACGGAUUUAUCAAGGAAAGGAUUACAAACCCUAUUCAUCAAAUCCAUGAACGCUGCUGGAGCAUUGGUUAGUCCAAACGACAUAACCAAGAACUCGUAGUGUCCAUAUCUAGUUCUGAAUGCAGUCUUCUCGAUAUCUUGCUCUCUUACUUUCAGCUGAUGAUAUCCUGACCUAAGAUCGAUCUUCGAGAAAUAGCUCGAACCUUGCAAUUGAUCAAACAGGUCAUCAAUCCUCGGCAACGGAUAUCUAUUCUUUAUUGUUGCCUUGUUCAGCUCUCUGUAAUCGAUGCACAUUCUCAUACUUCCAUCUUUCUUCUUUACAAAUAACACCGGAGCUCCCCAGGGCGAUGAACUAGGUCUAAUGAAACCUUUGUCCAAUAACUCCUGAAGUUGCAUCAUUAGCUCCUUCAUCUCCGUCGGUGCUAAUCGAUAAGGUGCUUUUGCUAUUGGCGUGGUUCCUGGUAACAAGUCUAUUCUGAACUCCACUUGUCUAUCAGGUGGUAAUCCAGGAAGAUCCUCGGGAAAUACUUCCGGAUAAUCACACACCACUGGAAUGCUCUGCAUCACCUUCUUUUCUUUCUUAGCAUCAAUCACGAAUGCUAAAUAUGAUGUACAUCCCUUGGUCAAACACUUUCUGGCUUUCAUUAGAGAAAUGAUUCCAGAAUUCACUCUGCGUUUGUCCCCAUACACCAUAAACGAAUCUUUUCCAGGCGGGUUUACUUUAACUAUCUUCUUCUUGCACAAAAUUUCGGCAUCAUUGGCGCUAAGCCAAUCCAUUCCCAAGACGAUGUCGAAACCAUUUAGUUCGAUAGGCAAUAAUUCCUCGUGAAACUUAUUCCCAUUAAGGUCGAUUAAGAUGUUUUUCAUACGAUGGCUAACAGGUACAAACUUGCCACUAGCUACUUCGACUAAUAAAGCAUCAUCUAGUCUAUCAAUAGGCAAAGAUAGCUUUCUACCAAACUCAUGCGAAAUAAAGGAGUAGUUGGCUCAGAAUCAAACAAAAUUUGAGCAGGUAAUUCGUUUACGAGAAAAGUACCUGAAGCGACAUCAGCUUCAUCUUUCGCAACCUCAAGUGUCAUCUAGAAGGCUCUCGCCUUCGGCUUUGGUGGAAUGUUGGGCCUAGCUGCCUCCUUCUUCUUCGGACAGUCUUUCAAAAUAUGCCCCUCUUCAUUACAACCAAAACACAUCCUUUUGUUGUUCGGACAUUCAUUGGCAAAAUGUCCAACCUUUCCACACUUGUAGCAGGUCACAUCCUCGCUACAUUUCCCAAAGUGCUUUUUCUUACACUUAUCACACCACUUCGCUUCGCCUCCUUUUCCUCCAAACUUUUUCGAAUCAGAUUUCGAAAAUUUGCUCUUCUUACUGGAACCAGAUGUUCCUUCAAACUUCCUUUUCUCACCAACCUCAACCUUGACGGUGGUUCUCCCCUUGAUCAUGUUCUCCACAGACUUGGCAGCCCAGAUAGCUGCCUCUAGAGUAAGUGCCUGACGUACCGGCACCUCGUACUCCCAUGGAAGUCCCUUCGCAUACCGAUCCACCUUUGUCAGCUCGUCUGGAACGAUACGCAAGGCAAACUCCAUCUUAUCGGUGAAGUUAUUGGUGUACUCAUCCACUGACAUGCUACCCUUCGUCAAUGUCAAAAACUUGUUCUCCAACUCCAACAGAUUUUGAGCCGAGCAGAACUUGCGCUUGAACUGCACCAAGAACUCUGCCCAUGACAAUUGCAGUGGCUCAUUAGGGCUUAAGGUCUUCCCUAGAGUGUUCCACCAACGAACGGCUCCACCUCGGAAUUGUCGCACGGCAUAGAUAGUCUGCAACUUGCCUCUACAGCCACAUGUCAUAAAGGCUAACUCCAUUUCGGAGAUCCAAUCCAUAACCCCAAUCGGAUCCUCCUUUCCAUUGAAGGUCGAUGGUUUACAAGUCAAAAAGUCCUUGUACUUGCAUCCCAUUCCAUCAUUCCUUCCAUCAUGGUUAUCUUGCCUAACUAUCGGUGGGUUGGCUGGACCAACAGACCCACUGAAGUUUCCACCUUCCGAGUGCCCUUCAUUCAGUUCAGGCUCUUCCACACGAAUCGACAGUUCUUCACGAUUUUGUUGAAGCAACCGUCUAGUUUCAUCCAUCUGACGAUCCAACAUCGUCUGAAUCAUCAAUUGCACACCAGCCAUGGUUAUUGGCUCAGGUGCUGCUGCUACGACAGGUAUUGGCUCAAUCACUGGUGGUUGAUUCCUGUUUUCGUCAGCAUUUCCAACUCCACUUCUUGUUCUCACCAUUUUGAUCUACACCGAAUAAGGUGAAAUUAGAUCCUCAAUCAUGAUAGAUAUUCAAAUCAUCCUUAUCACUCCGAAACGUUUACAUGCUAGUUCUAAUAUCGUAGACGUACGCUUAGAAUCCUACACACAUAAGGUUUCUAGAUCCGGUCGGCAACAGACCAUAGAUCCGAACAAAUAAUAUCAUAUAUGGCAACAUAUAACAUUUAGCACAUAAAGCAUUUUAGGCAACUUUCCUAAAAUAAACUAGUGCUCGUGUCUAAAUCACAACAGACACACAUCUCAAAACUUCACUUAGCAUUCUAAGUUUAAGUCUAGAAAUCCUACAAAUUCCUAGUUCGCUUAAACUAAUGCUCUGAUACCAACUGUGACAUCCCCAAAAUCUCGGCCAGAAAAGACCGAUUUUCAUUUAUGCUUUUAAAUAUUUUCAGAGUAAAUCCUUUUGAUUUGAAAGAGUUGCGGAAUUUGUUCCCAAAAACAAAACAUGAUAAAACAUUGUUUACCGAAGCAUUUCAUAAAAGAAAUGUAUUUUCAUUAUAAUCAAAACUCGGGGUGUCAUGUUCCGAUACAGACCAAUAAGCAUAAACGAAUACAUUACAAGUCAUAUAACAAAUAUAAACAUAUGCAGACUUGUAAACAAAACAACUUGAUGGUUCAUCCAUCUCAUGCCCUUCCGCCACUACCUGUAAUACAAUUUAAAACUGAGUGGGUCAGGCUUGGGAGCCUGGUGAGCAUAUAGGGUUUUCAACCCACAAUAAAUAUCAUAUUUAAUUUUCACCAACCAACAAUAACCCAAUUACCCAUUCCCGUUAUUCUCACUUUAAUGUCCCUAAAACAACUAACAUAAGGGACCUAGUCUAAGAAUAUUUCAUCGGGGCGACAACACAUGCUUCGGGGGUACCUCAGCAAUAUAAGUCAAAUAAGGCAACCAUGAGGGGGAUGGAGUACAGCGAAUGAACACCCAAGUUCAUUAACACCUACAGGUGGCGAACCUGCUAAUGUUUCCACAAGACUGUCUAGAAUAGCCAGUGGUCGUCAUCUAAACUCCGCUAGAUGACUCAAUCAAACAACAACGAGGCCUCUCAUCUGUUUAUUACACACCAACUGUCUACCCAUGUUCUACCCAACAUAUUAGUAGAUAAAAAUAUACAUUUGUAUACAUAGUUUAAAGAAAACCUGUAUAGCAUGCUUUAAUCAACACAUAUAUCACAUAACAGAUGAGGCACACACACACAUAACACAUAUCUCAUAAAGAAAUAAGCAGAUCUAUAAGAUAGAAGAGAGUGAAUACUCAUUCACACAUAACACAACCAAAUAUAUACACAUAGCACGUAUUUUUAUAUAAAAUACUUCGUAUUAUUGUAUUAGAAGAAAUAACUACACACUCACUUGAUCAGAAGACGAUCCGACAGCACUACGGCUUAUAGAAGUAGUAUUCCACAGCAGAUCUGGAAGAUCUCCUCGAAAAUCGAACUUCUCGCGGGCAGAGCUUCGACUCGGGAACCGCACUUUUCGGGAUCUUCGGGAUCUCGGGACUUGCCUCGGGGCUAGAGUAUGAUACCGGGACUUCGGGGUAGCUUCGGGGGUUUUUGCACAGAGCUUCGACACGAAAACGAGAGGGAAUUGGCAAAAAUACCCGGAACCCUCGCAUCCUAUUUAUAGGAGGCUGGAGCCUCGGAGUACGCGGGGCGUACUGCGUUACGCGGGGCGUACUGCCCAAAACGUCAUUGCUUACGUAUCCGAAGUGCUCGAGUGCGAGUGUCGACAUUCCUCGGUGUACGCGGGGCGUACUUCGGAUGAGUCCGAUGACUCCUCUUCGGAUAAUGCCGGAUUUUCCAAUUAAAUUUAAAUACAAAAUAUUUAAUAAACUUCGGAAAUUCAUAUCUUCUUCAUACGAACUCCGUUUUCGACGUUCUUUAUAUCCACGCGAAGGUGAGACUACGCUCUACAACUUUCGUUUAGACUCCGUCGGCUAAUUUCGACUUUAUUUUUAUUAAUUAUUUUUAAUAGGCCGGGACAGAAACUUUCGUUAUAAAUUCAUAACUUCUUCGUUUGACGUCCGUU
This 7255-nucleotide long non-coding RNA is filed under the name Lactuca sativa (garden lettuce). Its description in RNAcentral is "long non-coding RNA (LSAT_LNC003743)". Lineage: Eukaryota; Viridiplantae; Streptophyta; Magnoliopsida; Asterales; Asteraceae. The record is from RNAcentral.